RNAcentral lists this long non-coding RNA (572 nucleotides) under Lepisosteus oculatus (spotted gar). RNAcentral's name for it is "lncRNA (ENSLOCG00000021067.1)". Lineage: Eukaryota; Metazoa; Chordata; Actinopteri; Semionotiformes; Lepisosteidae. The record is from RNAcentral.
GCGGGGUCCGCUUGUCGGCACACCCGUCUCCAUUUGGUGGUUUGAACCAAAUCUUUGAGCUGACAUUGUCAUUAAAUGCGACCGAGAAUACUCCAACCGGCGCGUCACUGCCUGCUGUCGAACUUCAAACUCAUCUGACUGAAGAUUUAUUUUUCCUUUUUUCAUGGAGUCUGUCCUUCAGGUCUGAUUGAUGAUCAGAGUGUUUCUCUGGGAAAGAGUCCCGAUUAUAUCCCUCGCUGUUCUACCCACGAACACGUAGAGAGUAGGGAGCAGAAAUCCCGGGCGUGGAAGCAUUCACAAUCGAGAGAAGACAAGACUGAGUUGUCAUGGUUACCAUUCCAAUGAUAACUGAAGAAUAUGAGUUCAACAGAAUUGUUUAAAAGUGGAAAUUAUUCACCAUAUUAUCUUGUUUAAGAGUUAUGCAUAUUUAAAACACUAAAUGGAAUUUUUUGAAGUAGGACAUUCUCUCACUCUUAUUUAAAUUCAUAGCACUUGUGACAAAAACAUUUAACAGAUACACUGAGUGUAUUACUCAUCCCUGCUCUUGCCAUUAAUAGCUAGCCACAGCUGAC